This is a long non-coding RNA of Equus caballus (horse), 2595 nucleotides long. Lineage: Eukaryota; Metazoa; Chordata; Mammalia; Perissodactyla; Equidae. The record is from Ensembl.
AGUCACUGUUGCCGUGGGCCCCUGGGGGUCUUAUCUGUGAGACGGCUAGCAGUUGAACCAGAGCAGCUGUUCCCAAACCUGAGCGCAUCAGCAUCGCUGCACGGCUUGUUAAACUGCAGAUUCCUGGGCCCCACAUCCAGAGUUUCUGAUUUCCAGGAACAGUUCGCCGCGUAGCAGCCGCUGGGGCGCUGGGAGCGGCGGGAAGGGUGGAAGAAGGCAGGCGCAGAGGCCCGGAGAGGCGGGAGCCAGGUCGCGGCCCCGCAGCCGCUCCGGUCUCAGUCCGGGUAUUCUCGGUGGCAGAGCCCGGGCCUGGCCGCCGGCGCCGCGGGUGGGAGGACGGCGCCUGGAGCGGAGCCCGGAGGCGCGAAGAGGAGGAGCGGGUCUCAGUCCUGGGAGCGGGAACAGCGCAGGCAAGCCGGGGAACCUCGGGGGCGGUGACCGAGGGCUGGACAGCUCGGGUCACCGCGGGACCCCACUAGGGGACUACGGGGAACCGGCCUCACCCGCGGAGCGCUGAGAAUAACCCAGCGGGCAUUCAAACUGGCGAGUCCGGCUGCGUUCCUGCGGCCCGCGCCCAGCCGAGCCCUGAUUGGCGUUCACGCAGCCAAUCAUAGCCUCAGGGCCUGAGGUGGGUGGGGCCGGAGCGGGCCGGGCGCGCCCGCGGAGGCGGACCCCGAGGACCCUGUCUUCUGGGUGCGCCAGAAACGGAGGGGGGCCGGUUGGCGCGUCCCGCUUCUCCGCGCCUCGUUGGAAGGCCACACCCGGGCCUGGAGACCUGGACAGAAGCGGACACUGCGACUCAAAACCCCAGGCUCAAUGGGAGAUGCCUACCGUGCAAAGUCCCGGAGCGCUGGCCUGGAGGAAGAGGGCGUCCCGCGCCUGUGCAAAUACCUGGAGAACGCGCGGGAGACGAUGCUGCUGCAGGGUAUCGAAAGAGGGUAACAACCUCGUCUUCAAGUAAAUAAAGGGAGGGAUUCAAAUUAUAAGGCAAAGGAAAAAUUGGUUCUUUGCUGUGGGGAAGAGUUGCUGAAAAUUAAAGAACAAUCUCCUGAGCUGAAGGAAGCUUUGGGUUUGGUAAUUUGGGGUGUGGGGCAGGCCUUCCAGAAUGCCAAGGGCGUCAAGACUAGUGUGUCUCGCCCUUAGUGUUUCCUUCCUCCAUUUGAGAGAGCUUUCUGGCAUAGAACAAAAAAAAAGUUCACCCCUUCUUGUCUCUGCUGACACCUAGAUUCUUCUCAGCUGUAUGUCCCUGUUCCUAUUAGGGUAACACAGGAUGGGGGAAGAAUAGCUCAGUGAUCUUCCCUUCACAUCUCCCCUAAAAGCAUUGUGAAAUAUCAUGUGCCCCCUCCCACAGGCUUAGGUUGACCUGAAAUUCUCAGCAUGUGUUCAAAGAAUUGCAAAGAAUGUAAUUUACAACAUAUUAUAUGUAUAUAUAUAUUAACACGUUUAAAUAAAACUGUUAAUCACAUGUCCAAUGGAAUCUAAAUACCAUAACAUUUUGACACCCAUCGUUAAUUUUUUAAAUGCACAAUCUCUUUCUUAACAGUUGGAAAUUUUACACUGUUCCUUUUUUUUCCUUUGAAUUCAUAUUUUCAUUUUAUUCUCCCUAUAGAAUUUUUUUUUUUUUUUGAAUUCUCAAGCCUGGCUGCAUCCUCAUGUAAUAUAUUUUUGUUCUUGGACUUCUUUUCUUGAUCCAUCUUUUGCAACAAAAUAUGUUCUUAAAGUGAAUUUUUUAUUUCCUGUUCUAAGUGUUUAAAAAGUCAUCUGGAUUAAGAUAAUAUUACAAUUAUUAGAGAUACACAGUUGAUCAAACAAUAUAAAUAAUAUAGAUUUUGGUAAAUAAAAGAAUAAAUUUUUAAAAAGUAAAAUUUAUCUGGAAAUAUAUCUCUUACUGAGAUAGAUAGGGGCUUUAUAUUGCCAACUUUAUGAGGAUGAAAGCUACUUAUUGAUAUUAUGAGGCUGGGGUCUAUGUGAUUUCUAUUCCUUUAAAAAAUUUUUAACAUGAAAGAACUAAAAGAAUCUUGUUCACAUAACUAAGUAUGGAAACAGGAUAAAUAUGGGAAUGAAAAGAAUUUUAUUGUAACAACUUCAUCCAAUUUCUAAAAUUUCUUCUUAGUUAUAUGUCAAAAAUUAUAUAGUGAGCUGUUAUUAAAUACUAUUUUUAAUAACCUCACAACUCAAGUAUAGAGUUCUUCAAUAUUGUUGAAACAAAGAAUUAGAAACUACCUGAUUUGCAAAAAUAUUUGUACACAUACGUUAUGUUCUGUCACUUUCUCAGGUCUUAGAAGUAGACCAAAGAGGCUUUACAGAUUCUUACCAAACUAAUAAUUAUACUUGUUAGUCUUUCACUUAGAGGCAUCUUGUUUCUGAAACUCAAAUUAGAUGAAACUGAGGUUAGAAAGAAACAAACAAACCCACAAAAUUGGAAAUUAAAAAUCAAUAGGUUCCAAAUAAAGACUUUUCCCCAUUUUUUAUGUCAUCUGGAAGUGCCUUUAAAAAGUAUGACAAAGAGAUGGACACUUUAAACUAAUGUGUGUGUGUGCUUGUAAUUUCAUUUCAUUGUAGGAAAUGAUUAAUUUUAUAAUCAUGAUUUGACAG